This 489-nucleotide ribosomal RNA is filed under the name uncultured bacterium. RNAcentral describes it as "partial 16S ribosomal RNA". It matches the Rfam family "Bacterial small subunit ribosomal RNA", at positions 28 to 507 of the family's 1533-position model. The record is from RNAcentral.
GACGAACGCUGGCGGCGUGCUUAACACAUGCAAGUCGAACGGUGAAGGGACCAGCUUGCUGGUUCUGGAUGAGUGGCGAACGGGUGAGUAACACGUGAGUAACCUGCCUCCUUCUUCUGGAUAACCGCAUGAAAGUGUGGCUAAUACGGGAUAUUCUGGGUCUGUCGCAUGUCGGGCCCGGGAAAGCUAUUGCUUCGUCGGGGGAUGGGCUCGCCGCCUAUCAGCUUGUUGGUGGGGUGAUGGCCUACCAAGGCGGUGACGAGGAGCCGGCCUGAGAGGGUGGACGGUCACACUGGGACUGAGACCCGGCCCAGACUGCUACGGGAGGGAGCAGUGGGGAAUAUUGCACAAUGGGCGCAAGCCUGAUGCAGCGACGCCGCGUGAGGGAUGGAGGCCUUCGGGUUGUAAACCUCUUUCGCCAGUGAAGCAGGCCUGCUACUUGUGGGUGGGUUGACGGUAGCUGGAUAAGAAGCGCCGGCUAACUACGUG